CCUACGGGGGGCAGCAGUGGGGAAUAUUGGACAAUGGGGGGAACCCUGAUCCAGCCAUGCCGCGUGUGUGAAGAAGGCCCUCGGGUUGUAAAGCACUUUCAGUGAGGAAGAACGCCUGGUGGUUAAUACCCAUCAGGAAAGACAUCACUCACAGAAGAAGCACCGGCUAACUCCGUGCCAGCAGCCGCGGUAAUACGGAGGGUGCGAGCGUUAAUCGGAAUUACUGGGCGUAAAGCGCGCGUAGGUGGCUUGAUAAGCCGGUUGUGAAAGCCCCGGGCUCAACCUGGGAACGGCAUCCGGAACUGUCAAGCUAGAGUGCAGGAGAGGAAGGUAGAAUUCCCGGUGUAGCGGUGAAAUGCGUAGAGAUCGGGAGGAAUACCAGUGGCGAAGGCGGCCUUCUGGACUGAAACUGACACUGAGGUGCGAAAGCGUGGGUAGCAAACAGGAUUAGAUACCCUUGUAGUC
Molecule: ribosomal RNA, 465 nt
Filed under: Vreelandella stevensii
Lineage: Bacteria; Pseudomonadati; Pseudomonadota; Gammaproteobacteria; Oceanospirillales; Halomonadaceae
Description: partial 16S ribosomal RNA
Rfam family: Bacterial small subunit ribosomal RNA
Source: RNAcentral